Molecule: ribosomal RNA, 461 nt
Filed under: Camaenidae sp. BL6
Lineage: Eukaryota; Metazoa; Mollusca; Gastropoda; Stylommatophora; Camaenidae
Description: partial 12S ribosomal RNA
Source: RNAcentral
UUAUAGAUAGGGAGUUAUGUGGCAAAAUUGAACAUAGUUAAGAUACCUAUAUGGUGAGAUAUAACAGACACUUAUUUCAAAUCUAUGUGAAAACUCAGAACAUAUUGAUCCUAAACAGGGAUUAGAUACCCCUUUAUACAAUACACAAAACAUUUUGCAGAGCACUAAAACCUCUAAGGUCCAAACUUAAAAAACAUGGCGGUAACUUUGAUUCAGGGGRACUUACUAAAUAAUUGAUAACCACCAAGGUUAAGCAACCAUGAGUAAAUCUUGUAUGCCGUCGUCUUCAGAUGAAACUUAAAGUUUCAUCAAUAAGUUAUAACAAAAAGACAGAUCAAGGUGCAGACAAUCUUAUGGAUAUAGCGAGUUACAAUUUAUAAUUUUAACAGAGCAUAUUAUGAAUAAUAACGCAGAAGAUGGACUUGACAGUAAUUAUGAAAGUAAUAUUUAUUGAAGUAUUA